This 301-nucleotide ribosomal RNA is filed under the name uncultured bacterium. RNAcentral's name for it is "partial 16S ribosomal RNA". It matches the Rfam family "Bacterial small subunit ribosomal RNA", at positions 509 to 808 of the family's 1533-position model. The record is from RNAcentral.
CAGUCGCCACGGUAAUACGUAGGGGGCGAGCGUUGUCCGAAGUUACUGGGCGUAAAGCGCGCGUAGGCGGCUUCUUAAGUCUGAGGUGAAAGGUUCAACGCUUAACGUGAACAGUGCCUUGGAUACUGGGGAGCUUGAGUAUGGGAGAGGGCAGUGGAAUGGCUGGUGUAGCGGUGAAAUGCGUAGAUAUCAGUCGGAACACCCAUGGCGAAGGCAGCUGCCUGGCCUAAUACUGACGCUGAGGUGCGAAAGCGUGGGGAGCGAACGGGAUUAGAUACCCCCGUAGUCCCUGUCUCUUACA